RNAcentral lists this ribosomal RNA (375 nucleotides) under uncultured bacterium. RNAcentral's name for it is "bacterial SSU rRNA". It matches the Rfam family "Bacterial small subunit ribosomal RNA", at positions 524 to 898 of the family's 1533-position model. The record is from RNAcentral.
UCCGUAGGGGGCCCGCGUUCUCCGUCUUUACUGGGUUUCCAGGGCGCGUAGGCGUCAAGACACUUCUGAUGUGAAAGCCCGGGGCUCAACCCCGGGACUGCAUUGGAAACUGUUUAGCUAGAGUGUCGGAGAGGUAAGUGGAAUUCCUAGUGUAGCGGUGAAAUGCGUAGAUAUUAGGAGGAACAUCAGUGGCGAAGGCGACUUACUGGACGAUAACUGACGCUGAGGCUCGAAAGCGUGGGGAGCAAACAGGAUUAGAUACCCUGGUAGUCCACGCUGUAAACGAUGAAUACUAGGUGUCGGGUGGCAAAGCCAUUCGGUGCCGCAGCUAACGCAAUAAGUAUUCCACCUGGGGAGUACGUUCGCAAGAAUGAA